UACGAAGGGUGCAAGCGUUAUCCGGAUUCAUUGGGUUUAAAGGGUGCGUAGGCGGGGCCGUAAGUCAGUGGUGAAAUCCUGCAGCUUAACUGUAGAAUUGCCAUUGAUACUGCGGUUCUUGAGUACGCUUGAUGUGGGCGGAAUGUGCCGUGUAGCGGUGAAAUGCUUAGAUAUGGCACAGAACACCGAUCGCGAAGGCAGCUCACAAAGGCGAAACUGACGCUGAGGCACGAAAGCGUGGGGAUCGAAC
RNAcentral lists this ribosomal RNA (250 nucleotides) under uncultured bacterium. RNAcentral's name for it is "partial 16S ribosomal RNA". It matches the Rfam family "Bacterial small subunit ribosomal RNA", at positions 524 to 773 of the family's 1533-position model. The record is from RNAcentral.